This 469-nucleotide ribosomal RNA is filed under the name uncultured bacterium. Its description in RNAcentral is "bacterial SSU rRNA". It matches the Rfam family "Bacterial small subunit ribosomal RNA", at positions 28 to 501 of the family's 1533-position model. The record is from RNAcentral.
GACGAACGCUGGCGGCGUGCCUAACACAUGCAAGUCGAACGAAGCACUGUAAACGGAGAUUCGUCAAAGUUUGCUUUGACUUAGUGGCGGACGGGUGAGUAAUGUAUGAGCAACCUGCCUUUCAGUGGGGGACAACAGUUGGAAACGACUGCUAAUACCGCAUGAUGUCAAUUGGGGGCAUCCCCGAAUGACCAAAGGAUUUAUUCGCUGAAAGAUGGGCUCAUAUCUGAUUAGCUAGUUGGUGAGGUAACGGCUCACCAAGGCUGCGAUCAGUAGCCGGACUGAGAGGUUGAACGGCCACAUUGGGACUGAGACACGGCCCAGACUCCUACGGGAGCAGCAGUGGGAAUAUUGCACAAUGGGGGAAACCCUGAUGCAGCGACGCCGCGUGAGUGAAGAGUAUUCGGUAUGUAAAGCUCUAUCAGCAGGAAGAAAUGACGGUACCUAGACUAAGAACGCCCGGACUAAC